UACGGAGGGGGCUAGCGUUGUUCGGAAUUACUGGGCGUAAAGCGCGCGUAGGCGGCUUUGUAAGUUAGAGGUGAAAGCCCGGAGCUCAACUUCGGAAUUGCCUUUAAGACUGCAUCGCUAGAAUCGUGGAGAGGUGAGUGGAAUUCCGAGUGUAGAGGUGAAAUUCGUAGAUAUUCGGAAGAACACCAGUGGCGAAGGCGGCUGACUGGACAUGUAUUGACGCUGAGGUGCGAAAGCGUGGGGAGCAAACAGG
Molecule: ribosomal RNA, 253 nt
Filed under: uncultured bacterium
Lineage: Bacteria
Description: partial 16S ribosomal RNA
Rfam family: Bacterial small subunit ribosomal RNA
Source: RNAcentral